UGGGGAAUAUCGGACAAUGGGGGCAACCCUGAUCCAGCCAUGCCGCGUGAGUGAUGAAGGCCUUCGGGUUGUAAAGCUCUUUUGGCGGGGACGAUGAUGACGGUACCCGCAGAAUAAGCCCCGGCUAACUUCGUGCCAGCAGCCGCGGUAAGACGAAGGGGGCUAGCGUUGUUCGGAAUUACUGGGCGUAAAGCGCGUGUAGGUGGUUUGCCAAGUCGGGUGUGAAAGCCUUGGGCUUAACCCAAGAAAUGCACUCGGUACUGGCAGACUAGAGGACCGGAGAGGAUAGUGGAAUUCCCAGUGUAGUGGUGAAAUACGUAGAGAUUGGGAAGAACACCAGUGGCGAAGGCGGCUAUCUGGACGGUUUCUGACGCUAAGACGCGAAAGCGUUGGGAGCAAACAG
This 403-nucleotide ribosomal RNA is filed under the name uncultured bacterium. Its description in RNAcentral is "bacterial SSU rRNA". It matches the Rfam family "Bacterial small subunit ribosomal RNA", at positions 355 to 775 of the family's 1533-position model. The record is from RNAcentral.